This 365-nucleotide unclassified non-coding RNA is filed under the name uncultured fungus. RNAcentral describes it as "sequence contains ITS1". The stretch from base 1 to 105 matches the Rfam family "5.8S ribosomal RNA", at positions 50 to 154 of the family's 154-position model. The record is from RNAcentral. Lineage: Eukaryota; Fungi.
AAACUGCGAUACGUAAUGCGAAUUGCAGGAUUCAGUGAGUCAUCAAAAUUUUGAACGCACAUUGCACUUUCGGAUUUAUCCGUUAGUAUACCUGUAUCAGUGUCGACACCCGAUUGAACUAGCAUAAUUUAUUAUGGUAGAUCAGAUGUUGGAAUAUGCGUGUCUCACGGAUAUUUCGAAAUGAAUACUCUACAAAUAUGGCUUCGUCCUGUAUGCUUGAGUUAGUAUUCUUUAAUGAACUUUAUACUUUCUUUGAAAGUGAAAACAAAUUGACGAAAACUAGCAAUGAAAGUGUGCAAAAGUUGCUUUUAUUUGCGUAUCUGUAAGUCGGCCUGAUAUCAGGUAAGAUUACCCGCUGAAUUUAA